GCAUCGCUACAGCCUUGUCUUCUCAAAAAUACUGUCGGCUUCGAACUCAAAAAAUGAUUGCACCAAAGCCCAGUUGCUUCCAAACUUACCACCAGAAUCACAUCAAGAAGAUACUCUUCAGAUGUCUCACAACCUAGGAUUUAAUUUUUAUCUCCAACAUAUGGAAAAACCAAACCCUAGAGCACACUAGCAACACUUGCUAAUUCUCUCACCAUCCUUCUUAUAACUUUUGCCACUCAAUUUCUCCUUACUUUUUUCUCAAAUUUUUUCCAAAAUUUUUUCACUAAUUCACAUGUCUCUUAUCUCUAGUUUCCAUCCAAAUUCUCAAUAGCUAGGCCAUGUGGGAUGUCCCAUAUAUAUAAGGGACCAAGAGACAUGUCAUGGGACCAAGGGGCACCAACCUUUGGCGCUCCACUUUCUCACAUAGUGAAUAAAUACACCGUAUAGAAUUAUGGUACAAGAGAGCCUUCAUAGAAAAGGACUCUCCCUCUUCUGCAUGCCAUAAAAAUCUCAUCUUUAAUUGGCA
RNAcentral lists this long non-coding RNA (526 nucleotides) under Elaeis guineensis (African oil palm). Its description in RNAcentral is "long non-coding RNA (EGUI_LNC051656)". The record is from RNAcentral. Lineage: Eukaryota; Viridiplantae; Streptophyta; Magnoliopsida; Arecales; Arecaceae.